UGAGGACUCAGGUCUCCUAAGGAUGAAA
This 28-nucleotide non-coding RNA is filed under the name Homo sapiens (human). Lineage: Eukaryota; Metazoa; Chordata; Mammalia; Primates; Hominidae. The record is from RNAcentral.